This 497-nucleotide ribosomal RNA is filed under the name uncultured bacterium. RNAcentral's name for it is "partial 16S ribosomal RNA". It matches the Rfam family "Bacterial small subunit ribosomal RNA", at positions 28 to 507 of the family's 1533-position model. The record is from RNAcentral.
GAUGAACGCUGGCGGCGUGCCUAAUACAUGCAAGUCGAGCGAACGGACGAGAAGCUUGCUUCUCUGAUGUUAGCGGCGGACGGGUGAGUAACACGUGGAUAACCUACCUAUAAGACUGGGAUAACUUCGGGAAACCGGCGCUAAUCCCGUAGAAUAUUUUGAACCGCAUGGUUCAAAAGUGAAAGACGGUCUUGCUGUCACUUAUAGAUGGAUCCGCGCUGCAUUAGCUAGUUGGUAAGGUAACGGCUUAUCAAGGCAACGAUGCCUAGCCGACCUGAGAGGGUGAUCGGCCACACUGGAACUGAGACACGGUCCAGACUCCUACGGUAGGCAGCAGUAGGGAAUCUUCCGCAAUGGGCGAAAGCCUGACGGAGCAACGCCGCGUGAGUGAUGAAGGUCUUCGGAUCGUAAAACUCUGUUAUUAGGGAAGAACAGAUGUGUAAGUAACUGUGCACAUCUUGACGGUACCUAAUCAGAAAGCCACGGCUAACUACGUG